Olea europaea var. sylvestris is the source of this 899-nucleotide long non-coding RNA. RefSeq lists it as uncharacterized. The transcript has 3 exons. The record is from RefSeq and is a predicted model, not a curated record. Lineage: Eukaryota; Viridiplantae; Streptophyta; Magnoliopsida; Lamiales; Oleaceae.
UUGAACUUAUUUAAAACAUAUUAUUCGUGUGUAUUGAUUUUAAGACUGCAUGUAUUCAAUUUUCCUUACAUAUAUGACUCGAAUCAAUCAGAUUUGCAAGAACCCAACACCAAAAAGCAUUCGGACAGUAGUAAUGAACAGCAACAGAAGAUGAUGAUGAGAAAGCAAGCCCAUAUAGCAAUUCUUGUUAAAACCAAAAUAAAAAAGGCAAAAGCUUCCCCACUUUAUAAAGUUUAUAAUGUGAAUAGAAGCUACUUGAAGCCGAUUAUUUUCUAAAGUUAUUUUGGGGGACCGUAAUUUCUUGAGCUGGAAUUUGAUUAUACUUAGUGGGAUUUUUAGGGGUUGGGGUUAUAUGGAUUAAUUGGUAAGAAACGAGUGAUAUUUGCAUAUUAUGUACUUAUUUUUGAUUCCCUGUUAAUUUUUAGGGAAGAAAUAAGAUUUUUGAAGGGAAGAGUGUGAGUGCAGUGUUGGAGGAAGAGGUUGAAGAUUUAGUAGAAAAGCUAGAGGAGUUAACAAAGAGUUCCACAGCUAAAGGCCAUGAGUUUCGAAAUUGUAGUAAUUUCAAUAAGAAAGUGUGUGUAUUACAGCACCGGUUAGAGAAACUUCGAGUGUUAUUGGAUGAUAAUUCUGCGAAGGAGUUGCAGGAACUAGCUGAAUCGAGCUUCUCCAUCACUACAUGUUACGAUAUAGUUCAAGAGAGCUCUGCUUUAAGUCAGAUAAGCAAAAAUUAGUCCACCAAUGUGGAUAAGCUGAGAAGAAAUAUGAAGGGACUGUCAAAGGGUAGUGAAAGCAAUAAAAGAGAAGUUUUUGGGCAUACCCCCAAUCAUUUGUUUUACAAGACAUUUUCUUGUGGACUCUGGCUGUGAAGUUCCUUUAAUAAAGUGUUGAAAUAUUCUUUG